AGAGUUUGAUCCUGGCUCAGGAUGAACGCUGGCGGCGUGCUUAACACAUGCAAGUCGAACGGGGAUUAUUUCAUUGAAGCUUCGGCAGAUUUGGCUUAAUCCUAGUGGCGGACGGGUGAGUAACGCGUGGGUAACCUGCCUUGUACAGGGGGAUAACAGUCAGAAAUGACUGCUAAUACCGCAUAAGCGCACAGGACCGCAUGGUCCGGUGUGAAAAACUCCGGUGGUAUAAGAUGGACCCGCGUUGGAUUAGCUAGUUGGCAGGGUAACGGCCUACCAAGGCGACGAUCCAUAGCCGGCCUGAGAGGGUGAACGGCCACAUUGGGACUGAGACACGGCCCAG
RNAcentral lists this ribosomal RNA (343 nucleotides) under uncultured bacterium. Its description in RNAcentral is "bacterial SSU rRNA". It matches the Rfam family "Bacterial small subunit ribosomal RNA", at positions 8 to 334 of the family's 1533-position model. The record is from RNAcentral.